Molecule: ribosomal RNA, 614 nt
Filed under: Dendrobaena veneta
Lineage: Eukaryota; Metazoa; Annelida; Clitellata; Crassiclitellata; Lumbricidae
Description: eukaryotic LSU rRNA
Rfam family: Eukaryotic large subunit ribosomal RNA (bases 430-614)
Source: RNAcentral
UGAAACCGUCUAGAGGCAAACGGAGAGGACCGUAUGGUCCGCCCGUCGGAUUCAGUCCGCCUGCGCGGCGACGACGACGGCCGCGCAUCCCUCGUGGGAGCGCGCCGGCGUCCGUYACGUCGUGCGGCGGCCGUACUUUCGGCGGGCGGAGCGCCACGACCGGUUCGUCGGCGGCGAGAAACUCCCGGGCAAGGUGACCUUCGUCUCGGCGCAGGAGCAUACAGGCCCGGCGAGCGCAGGCCCGUCGGCGGACCGAGGAAGACCGUCGCGGAGCGGCGUCGACCGCCCGUCGUGUGGACGCGUUCGACUCGGGGGGACUGGUUCCAGUGCCCUCGGACCGCGCGAUCGCAGCGGCGGGACGGCCCGGCGCCGCGCCUGGGGUCGGUGGCGAAACGGCCGGCAACCUGUCCGACCCGUCUUGAAACACGGACCAAGGAGUCUAACAUGUGCGCGAGUCGUUGGGCGCUACGAAACCCGAAGGCGAAAUGAAAGUGAAGGCCCGGUCUCCGGCCGGCCUGGGUGGGAUCCGGGCGGCUUCGGCCGUGCGGCGCACCACCGGCCCGUCUCGUUCGCCUCGUCGAAGAGGCGGAGCAAGAGCGUACACGUUGGGACCC